CUGAGUGAGGGUCGCUCAGGCCCGACCUCCCACCCUGUGUUUUUGUGACCUUGUUGCUUUGGCGGGCCCGCCUCGACGAGAGGCCGCCGGAAGCUCACCGCUUUGGGCCCGUGCCCGCCAGUAGCCCCCUUAAAUUCUUAAUAAACAUGUCGUCUGAGUCCACGGAUAUAAUGAAAAA
RNAcentral lists this unclassified non-coding RNA (178 nucleotides) under uncultured fungus. RNAcentral's name for it is "sequence contains ITS1, 5.8S rRNA gene". Lineage: Eukaryota; Fungi. The record is from RNAcentral.